Long non-coding RNA from Halichondria panicea, 1611 nucleotides. RefSeq lists it as uncharacterized. The transcript has 3 exons. The record is from RefSeq and is a predicted model, not a curated record. Lineage: Eukaryota; Metazoa; Porifera; Demospongiae; Suberitida; Halichondriidae.
UCCAGGUAUAGCUGGGCGGAGCCCGGCACCCGUUCCCAACGGGUGGCCGGGUGACACGCUUAUAUAGGAUUUGUACUGCUGCACUGAGGAGUGCAGCCCAAUCAGAUUGCAGUAUUGCAAGUGGUUGGUUAACACCCACUUAGCUAGGUGGGUGUGCAGCUGGGCGGAGCUGCCUUGAGCAAAAUGGAGAAAGUUACACAAGUACAAAAGUUGUCACAGAAGCUGCUAACGAGCUUGGAAGUAGUCACUUCUUUUCUGAGAGACAGAGAUGUCUUUGCUGUAUUGCCUACUGGAUUUGGAAAGAGCCUUUGCUAUGCUUGUUUGCCUGCAGCAUUUGACAAAAUAUUGGAGAAGGAGAAAGGUCAUUCUAUUGUAGUAGUAGUAGUUACUCCAGUCCUCUGCUGGCCAUCAUUCAUGAUCAGGUAGCCAUCUAUUGUUCUAAAGGCAUCUCUAGCACAUAUGUCUCGGGCGAGAUGUCUGAUGCAGCUACAAUGGAUGCGAUCUUCCACGGAAAGUAUCAGCUAGUAUUCUUUACACCUGAAAUGAUCAUCAGCAAGAAGCAUUGGAGAAGACUUCUGGGGGGAGAUGUGUAUGCUAAUAGACUCAAGGCUUUGAUAAUCGAUGAAGCUCAUUGUGUGAAGAAAUGGGGUGAGACUUUCAGGCAAAUGCUGUUGAGAAUUAGAGAAGUGCGCAGCCUCAUUCCAACAUCAGUUCAUGUGAUGGCGCUAACAGCAACAGCUACCCGAAGUGACAUUUCAUUCAUUUCUCGUAUUGUUGGCCUAAGAAACCCAUUUGUCAUUACGAGAGUCCCAGUAAUCCCAAAUUUGAUUUAUGCUGUUGGAUUGUUCAAAAGUAUACCAGAGACAUUCCAAAACUUGGCCCAGAAAUUGGUAAUCGAGAGAAACAAGUUUCCCACAACAAUCAUAUAUGGACGUUCUUUUGGUGUGUGGUGACAUGUACCUCUUCUUUAAGGAUUACCUUGGAGCUGCAUUCACAAAUCCUGAUGAUGCACCUGAUCUUCCUGAAUUUCGCCUCGUGGACAUGUUUACAAGUGUCACUGAUCCAGCCCAUAAAUCUGAAAUCAUUCGUUUAUUUAAGGGUGAUGGCAAUCUUCGCAUUGUUGUAGCUACUAUGGAAUUUGGUAUGGGUGUUGAUUGUCCCAACAUUCGGUAAAUCAUUCAUGUUGGCCUGUCAGACGAUAUCAGUAGCUAUGUACAAGAGACUGGUAGAGCAGGUUGAGAUGGUAAACCAUCACGUGUAACCCUUUUGAAGGCAAGAAUUUACCAUCAAGUUGAUAAUGAGAUUAAAGAAUAUGCUUCAAACUUCAACACUACAGAUUGUAGAAGGGAUAGUCUUUUCCGAAAUAUUGACAAUUACAAACAUGUUGAUCUCGGUUUCAAUUGCUUGUGCUGUGAUAUUUGUUCUAAGUCAUGUUUAUGUGGACAGUGUGACCUAAGACUUAGUUACUUCUUUCAGCUAAUUACAAAUUUUAUUUUCAUUAUUACCUGUGCUUCAAGAAAGCUGCUAUAUCUACCGAAACAUUUCCUGCACAUUUUGGGCAAUCUGUUUUUAUCACUGCCAUUUACAAUACUGUUAAUGUCGACAUCAGCA